AGCGAACGCUGGCGGAAUGCUUAACACAUGCAAGUCGCACGCCCUGCAAGGGGAGUGGCGGACGGGUGAGUAACGCGUAGGAAUAUGUCCAGAGGUGGGGGACAACCCUGGGAAACUGGGGCUAAUACCGCAUAGGGGCUGAGGCCCAAAGCAGUGAUGCGCCUUUGGAGUAGCCUGCGUCCGAUUAGCUUGUUGGUGGGGUAAAGGCUUACCAAGGCGACGAUCGGUAGCUGGUCUGAGAGGACGACCAGCCACACUGGGACUGAGACACGGCCCAGACUCCUACGGGAGGCAGCAGUGGGGAAUAUUGGACAAUGGGCGCAAGCCUGAUCCAGCAAUUCCGCGUGGGUGAAGAAGGUCUUCGGAUUGUAAAGCCCUUUCGACGGGGACGAUGAUGACGGUACCCGUAGAAGAAGCCCCGGCUAACUUCGUGCCAGCCGCCGCCGUAACAC
Molecule: ribosomal RNA, 452 nt
Filed under: uncultured bacterium
Lineage: Bacteria
Description: bacterial SSU rRNA
Rfam family: Bacterial small subunit ribosomal RNA
Source: RNAcentral